This 304-nucleotide long non-coding RNA is filed under the name Setaria italica (foxtail millet). RNAcentral's name for it is "long non-coding RNA (SITA_LNC003329)". The record is from RNAcentral. Lineage: Eukaryota; Viridiplantae; Streptophyta; Magnoliopsida; Poales; Poaceae.
CAAGCUCAAGGUCGGCAAGCAAGACGAUGCGGCGAAGGAGCUCAUGGAUCACACUAACGAGGCCAAGAAGAGGCAGGCGGCCAUGGAAGCCGAGGUGCACAAGGCCAAGGCCACGCGCGACGCCACGCUCAUAUCCAUCGGCAACAUCCUGCACAAGUCCGUGCCCGUCAGCGCCGACGAGGCAAACAAUGUUCCCUUACGGACAUUCGGAGAGAGGAGGAUGGAGGAAGGCUUGAAGAAUCACCUGGAUCUCUGCCUGAUGCUUGACAUCGUGGAUCUGAAGAAGGGUGUGGCUGCCGCCGGC